RNAcentral lists this ribosomal RNA (443 nucleotides) under uncultured bacterium. RNAcentral's name for it is "partial 16S ribosomal RNA". It matches the Rfam family "Bacterial small subunit ribosomal RNA", at positions 338 to 795 of the family's 1533-position model. The record is from RNAcentral.
CCUACGGGAGGCAGCAGUGGGGGAUAUUGGACAAUGGGGGGAACCCUGAUCCAGCGACGCCGCGUGAGUGAAGAAGUAUUUCGGUAUGUAAAGCUCUGUCAGCAGGGAAGAAAAAAAUGACGGUACCUGACCAAGAAGCGCCUGCUAACUACGCGCCAGCAGCCGCGGUAAUACGUAGGGGGCAAGCGUUCUCCGGAAUUACUGGGUGUAAAGGGGGCGUAGACGGUUAAGGAAGUCUGGAGUGAAAGGCAGGGGCGCAACCCCGGGACUGCUCUGGAAACUAUUGAACUUGAGUGCAGUAGAGGUAGGCGGAAUUCCUAGUGUAGCGGUGAAAUGCGUAGAUAUUAGGAGGAACACCAGUGGCGAAGGCGGCUUACUGGACUGUAACUGACGUUGAGGCUCGAAAGCGUGGGGAGCAAACAGGAUUAGAUACCCGAGUAGUC